RNAcentral lists this transfer RNA (69 nucleotides) under Ictidomys tridecemlineatus (thirteen-lined ground squirrel). RNAcentral's name for it is "Spermophilus tridecemlineatus (thirteen-lined ground squirrel) tRNA". It matches the Rfam family "tRNA". From Rfam's summary of the family: Transfer RNA (tRNA) molecules are approximately 80 nucleotides in length. Their secondary structure includes four short double-helical elements and three loops (D, anti-codon, and T loops). The record is from Rfam by way of RNAcentral. Lineage: Eukaryota; Metazoa; Chordata; Mammalia; Rodentia; Sciuridae.
GGGGUUGUGGCUCAGUGGUAGAGCUUUUGCCUCACGUGCAUGAGGCCCGGGGUUCAAUCCUCAGCACCA